Molecule: ribosomal RNA, 252 nt
Filed under: uncultured bacterium
Lineage: Bacteria
Description: partial 16S ribosomal RNA
Rfam family: Bacterial small subunit ribosomal RNA
Source: RNAcentral
UACGUAGGGGGCAAGCGUUAUCCGGAAUUAUUGGGCGUAAAGAGUACGUAGGUGGCAACCUAAGCGCAGGGUUUAAGGCAAUGGCUCAACCAUUGUUCGCCCUGCGAACUGGGAUGCUUGAGUGCAGGAGAGGAAAGCGGAAUUCCUAGUGUAGCGGUGAAAUGCGUAGAUAUUAGGAGGAACACCGGUGGCGAAGGCGGCUUUCUGGACUGUAACUGACACUGAGGUACGAAAGCGUGGGGAGCAAACAGG